AUGUCGGUGACGCAAAAUUUCCAUCUGGAUUUGUUUGUUUGUGUUUGCAACCUGUCAUUUUUUUGUCAUUUUUCUGUCGACGUACUUGCCGAACUCCCCGUGCUCAGCUGCCUGAAGCUGCCGUGCGGACCUGCUGUGAGGGAUGGCAAUCCAAGGUCACUUCACGACAUUGCGGUCUGUGGUGACACCAUCAAGUAUGUUGAGAUGCUGCCUCACCCCGACAGAAGCUCCUCUAAGACCCUCUCAUGUCGUUGGGUGGUUGCAGCAUGGAGCAUCAAGAAGGCCCGUCGGUCCUGGUGCAAGGAUUGGCGCAUGGUUUGCAAGCUCGAUUCCACCCAUAUGAAGGUUGAUGCAACUAGUACCAUGGCUUCCUUCCCAACCUUGUCAUCCCUCCAUGUUGGCCUUCCCACACUCAGCCUGCAGAAUGAUGCCAUUGUUUACUUCCUCGCCAAGAUUGACUUCUGCACGAUGGAACACACGGCUUGGGUGCUUGCUGUUGACAUGAAGAACGUGACUGCUGAGCAAGUGGUGGAGUUCCCUGCUGAGAGGACUUUCUGUUUAGCCCAGGGCUAUGACGCAAGUAGGAUCUCCGCAUACCUCCAACCUUCUCCAGGUACACGGCAAAUACCUAAACGACCACGGGUGUCAUUGCUGAAAUACCCUACCAGGAAGCAUAUUAAAGAUGUUGAAGAUCCUAAAGAAGACGAUGCCAUGGUGAUUUUUUCUUCAUGA
This 732-nucleotide ribosomal RNA is filed under the name Triticum aestivum (bread wheat). Its description in RNAcentral is "partial small subunit ribosomal RNA". The record is from RNAcentral. Lineage: Eukaryota; Viridiplantae; Streptophyta; Magnoliopsida; Poales; Poaceae.